Molecule: ribosomal RNA, 254 nt
Filed under: uncultured bacterium
Lineage: Bacteria
Description: partial 16S ribosomal RNA
Rfam family: Bacterial small subunit ribosomal RNA
Source: RNAcentral
UACGGGGGGAGCAAGCGUUGUUCGGAUUUACUGGGCGUAAAGGGCGCGUAGGCGGCCUGUGCAAGUCAGUUGUGAAAUCUCCGAGCUUAACUCGGAACGGUCAACUGAUACUGCUCGGCUAGAGUGCGGAAGGGGCAACUGGAAUUCUUGGUGUAGCGGUGAAAUGCGUAGAUAUCAAGAGGAACACCUGCGGCGAAGGCGGGUUGCUGGGCCGACACUGACGCUGAUGCGCGAAAGCGAGGGGAGCGAACGGG